GAUCAAGUUGUCUCAAGCCCUUAAACUAAAGCUUGUCGCUAAGGGGCCUGCAUAAGGCUGUUUAACCAAUGCCUAACUGUGGCAGGCCGCCAACCUUGGAAGGCAUGAGUCCACUGUUCCACAUGCUUGGGCACCACCAGUCCCAUGAGAUGUGCUCCUGUGUCACGCCAGCAGGACAAAAACCAUCCACAGGACCAGUAUCCCUCGGUGCUCGUGGUCGGUGUAGCUUAGUGUGUGUCAUGCCACCGUGCGGCCUGUGGGCCAGGACUCUGCCGCCGCUAGUGUGUCCCACAGAGGAACAACUGCAAGGUAUUGAGGUGGGUUGUUGAAGUCGUUGUUUUGUCGGUGGGCCCCUCACAGGUCUUUCCCUUGCUUGUGCCUUAACAAUACGCUGGGUAGGAGCUCUGUGUGGUUGUGUGCUUGAGGGCCUCUCUUUAUGGGCUGAGGUUUAUGUAGGUUGUGCCGCACGGGAUGACCGGGCUUUUGGCGACUUGGCAGUGUUUG
Molecule: non-coding RNA, 504 nt
Organism: Pelobates cultripes (western spadefoot toad)
Lineage: Eukaryota; Metazoa; Chordata; Amphibia; Anura; Pelobatidae
Source: the annotation of a GenBank genome assembly